GACGCUUUUUUUCUUUUAGAGCUGGUUUGUAAGCGUGGCGUCCAGCCUCAUCUUGACUGAGAACCUUCAAGAAAAUACAGGAAUUAGAGGGCUACUGGGGGGAGGUAGCGGAGGUUAGCUCUAAGUCUGAGUGAGGAAGAUCCACAUUCCAAGCUGCUUAUAUUUGUCACGAUGAAAAGUUUCACUUCUGCAAAGUUUUCAGUUUUUUCUACUGUUGCUCGAGUGGUCUUUCUCAGUGUGUAUGUUGUAUUUAUUCUUUGCUGUGAAAAUGACUUUGUGCUUGGAAACUGUUACCCAGCUGCUCAGUGUUCUUGGGUUCUGACUGUUCUGGUUAAAUUAAAACAAUUGAAAUAUUUGGAUUCCUCCUUUGGAUGUCCGUUCUCUUCCCGCUGUACCACCUUGUCGUCGUCCUCAAAUAUCCGUAAGUAGCCUGUUAAAUAGUUUCAGAGGUAGUGAUUCCAGUCGGCUUUAGUAAAUUCAGUAGCCCAGACAUCGUUUGUUUGUAUAAUUUAAUAGUAAAAUUGGUGAGCGUGGGGAGCGGAUGAUGCAUCUUACAGUGUAGUGAUAAAGAGAGUUCAGGUUUUGGAGCGGUCUUAGCUCGGUCAGACCCUCACCGUUCCAGACUUUACACUUUCUCAGCCAUAAAAUUAGGACAGUCCUGGGACAGGAGCCAGGAGCCCGCCUGCUAUGGGAGGAACCUGUAGGGGAGGCUUGUAGUGCCCAGUGAGCUCCCUGUAGGCCUCACUGACGCCACGACAUCUAAGCGUGAAAUCGAUAUCUACGUCUAAGCCUAAAGAAUUGUAAUAAAAUUGUGCGAACACGUAUGUACGUAAUUUAUGAUUUCAUUAAGUCCGUUUCCUUGAAACUCGGGAAGCAGGGGAAAGAAGACCGGCAUCGAGGUUAGAAUAUUUCAUUCUGACUCUGGCCUCAUCGUGAAUCGGCUGUGUGACGCAGGCCUCUCCCCGACCAUGAGCUUCACUCUCCUUGUUUGUAAGACAAACGAGUGGUAGACUUAAGUCGUGCUUAAAAUCCCUCCCAGCCCUCCCGCUCUGUGAGCAUAUUGUUCCCAGCUAACUAAAGUUUUCACGGACUCAUUCUGUUAGAAGGAGAGACAAAUGUGCUUCCUGUAGUAGAAUCUAGUAGGACCUCCUUAUAUGGGAAUUGCGUAUAAUAAGUUAUGUUUGGCAGUUUACUGAUUUCACUGGAAUAAAUCCUCCCUAAUUAAUCCUCUAGAAUAAGUGAUCACUGAACUAAAGCACACCUUUAUUCGGGAAGGAAUUUUUACUCACGCGAAAAGCUCACAAUUAUCAUUCAGGUCACGCUAACCGUGUUUAUGAAACAAGUAUAGUAUUUCCCUUGAGAUACUGUUGCUCUAUGUGCACUAACAUCAUAACGUACCUACUAGCACAGACAGUAAUUCAAAUCCAUCGUUAUUCCCCGGACGCCAUUGUGGCCCAUGGGUCAGAACUUACCCUCUAACCGGAAACUAUGGGAACAGUUACAGAGUAGCUCAGUUUUCAUGUUUUGAAUUUUACUGUAUUUUAAUAUUUAUUGAAGUGCCGAUGCUGAUGAGUAGCUACAACCAAGAGGAAAUCGUAGCCUCCUAGGAUCGGAGAAUCUAGAGACGGGGUCUGGCCCACCUCCCUUGAGGAGGCAGAAGCUUAGAAGUCAAGCGCCUGACCCAGGUCUCGUGGUCAGUCGGUGGCAGAGCAGAGCUAUAGUCCAGGCCCCCCUGCGCCUCCCCCCCCCCCCCCCGCCAGCUCCGGCUGCUUUCACUGGACCGCAGUGCCUCCUGGGCAGCAGGGGCCGGGGUGACCGGCCCAGGGCCUGGUCCAGUCGUGGGAGACCACAGUUCUGUCUGCGGCCCGUGGGUGGUUCGCGCACGAAGCCAGCAGCAAGGGGGCGGUGGAGGGCGGAGGGAAAACUAGGCCGCGUCUGUCCUGGUCGCCGGCGUAGCCCCAGCAGCUGGCCUGGUGCCUGUUAUGUGAUAGGUGUGCGGUAAGGGUUUGCUAAACGAGGGAAUGUAACAGAAACGUUCCUUCUCAAUCAUAGUACAUCUAGAAUGCUUGCUUUCUUCUUUAAGGUCCUUGAACACAUGCCCUUGCUGCUGUAUAUCUUGGCAGCAAAAACCUUAAUUCUCUGCCUGGCAUUUGCUGGAGUCAAAAUCUACCAACGGAAAAGAUUAGAAGCAAAACUGGAAGCUGAGAAAAAGAAGCAGUCGGAGAAGAAAGAUAACUAGAGGGAAAAACCAAAGGUAUGGGGACUUUGCUCGUGCAAAAUUUACAGCGGGCCGAGGUGGGCCGAGGCACAGACAUGGGGGUCAGAGAACCCCUCCUCCCUCCAGGCUGAGGGCCGCGUGAGACCCACCUGCUGUCCGAUGGGGGGCAUCUGUGGGAGGGGAGGUGUGCAGAUCCCGGCCCCCUGCACCCUGGGUGCAGAUGAGCUAGAUUGUGCCCGCCUCUGCUCGAAGCCUGGGCGCUGCUCCCUUAUCCGGGCAGUGGGGCUGAGCAGGUGUUGGGUCGCAGAACUCUUGAGAAUUUCCUGAGAGCCGUGGACCUUCUCCCAGCAGAAGCACGCAUAGUAGAAACACCUACAGUUGCACAUCAAAUUGGGGACGGGGAGGAGGUGGGGUCACAGGUCUGUGGAGACCCACACCCGUACCUAAGAUGAACAAACCCUGCUCGAUCUUCAGGAGAAAGUCUGACUCCCAGGAAUGGCAUAGAAAUCCCUUCCCGAUGUGUUCUUGCCCCUCCAGUGCUCACUCCCCACACUUCUUCAGGCCACUCCUUGACCGUGGGAGACGCUCCGGCCCCUUGGCCUUGGCUUGUUAGUCCCAGAGGGUCCUUCCCAACAACCUCUUCAUGUAAGCGUGAAGUCUUACUCGUUCCGGUAGCCCUGGGCCUGUCACAGCACCCAAGAGGUGCCCAGAGCACAUCUGUUGAGUUAAGGCACCAGGAGGUAGUUCUGAAACCCCACCACAGAGUGAACAGACGAUGAUCAACACCUCCCUUAGUUCUGGUGCACUGAUCUGAUUUCUUCCAUUUAUCAGGUUGAAUUCUGUGCUGCUCUGAAAAUUUGAGGAUUCAACUACGGUGGCAGGCGUUUCUAGAUCAGUGGUCCCCAAACUUGGCUACUGAUCAGAAUUGUUGAAAGUGCAGAUUUCCAGGCCCCAACCCCCGAGAGAUUCCAUUACGUGGGUGUAGACAUCUGUUCUUUUGAAAAACCAUUAAGGGAUUCUUCUUUCUUUUUUUUCUUUCUUAACAUACGUAGGUGUAUUUUUUAUUUAAAUUUUAGUUAGUUAACAUGCACUGGGGGAUUCUUAACACAGCCCUUUCAGCAACGUGUCGCUCUAGGAGCCACUGGGCCAGCGAUCUCCUAACCCCCCUCCACCCGGAGAUCCCAUGCUUCCGUAAAUAGGAAUUCCCAUAGAGGAUUUUUAAAAACCUUGUUUAAUGUUGAUUUAUUUAUUUUGAGGGAGAGAGAGAGAGAGCAGGAGAGGGGCAGAGAAAAAGAGGGAGAGAGAGACUCCCAAGCAGGCUCCGAGCUGUCAGCACAGAGCCUAACACGGGGCUCGAUCCCACAAACUGUGAAAUCAUGACCUGAGCAAAAAUCAGCCUCGGAUGCUUAACCGGUUGUGCCGCCCAGGUGCCUCCCGUAGAGGAUCUUUAGGCCUGGGGAGGUGUAGGGGCGCCUGGGUGGCUCUGUCGGUUAAGCGUCAGCCUUCAGCUCGGGUCACAAUCUCGCACUCCGUGAGUUCAAGCCCCGCGUCGGGCUCUGUGCUGACAGCUCGGAGCCUGGAGCCUGCUUCGGAUUCUGGGUCUCCCUCUCUCUCUGCCCCACCCCCACCCCCGCCCACGCUCUCUCUCUCUCUCUCUUAUUAUAAAUAAAUAAAUGUUAAAAGAAAAAAGUUUGGACCUGUGGAGGUUAAUGGCACACGACUAGUAAUCGUAGCAACACUUACUGAAUGACUGUUGUGUGGCUCUCAUUUUGCUCAGCAUUUCUCAGCUGGCCGGCUUAUCGCUUCUGCUGAUAGCUCUGCGGGGCCCGUUCAGACUGAGAAAGGGCUGGCCCUCUGCCUCGUGAAGAGCAGAGUCAGGCUCGAACCCAGGUCAGACACGGGCCCACCGGGCCUCACCCCGGCUGCAUCACCUUCCCGAGUGCAGGGACGUGCACUGAGAGACUGUGAAGCACAGCGGCUCUCCGGUCCUCACCCCGGGCCCAGAAUCCCCUCUGUCAUUGCCCCUCAUGCCGUCCCUGGCCAGAACCUUGGUUUUUUUGGAAACGGUGUUUUACUGGCUGAAACCCAGGAGUGGGCACUGGGGUGAGGAAAGAGGGAGCAUCGCGAAACUAAAACCAUCAAGGGAGGGCAGUUCUCUUUGAAAUGUGUGGUUGGUUGAAUUUCUGUCUCAGGCAGAGUCUAAUUUUUUUUUUUUUUUAUGUUUUAUUGAUUUUUGAGAGCAAGAGAGACAGAGCACGAGCAGGGGGAGGGGCAGAGAGAGAGGGAGACCCAGAAUCCGAAGCAGGCUCCAGGCUCCGAGUUGUCAGCACGGAGCCCGACGCGGGACUCGAACUCACAGACCGUGAGAUCAUGACCUGAGCCGACUGAGCCACCCCGGCCCCCCCAGAGCCCUCAUUUCGCGUUAGACCAAGAAGAAGAAGGAAAGAUGGGAUGUGGGGCCACGAGCACUUCCCUCCCACCGGCACCCGCAGAGGCCUCAGGGCGCAGGGUCUGCCGCGAGACUGACACUUCAUUUUCCUGCCAGCCUCGAACCUGCUUUGAAACCAGGGCAGAAAACCGGGAUGUUGAAGAUAACAUUCUUUUAAUAGAUAAACUUGCAGUGGUUUCUGUUUGUUACGUUGAACCGGCUGAGCGCCAGGGUCAGCGCUGAGCAGGUCAAACCUCUGUCAGUGUUCAAUCAGACAUUUCAUACCCACCCUUUUUGUCUUCCUUUCUAGAGUUUGCGAUUUAAAUGUCGGCCUGAGUAGAUCCCAGCUGAGAAGGAAGCGGAGACCCUUACUGAAUGGGGUGUCGGAGGAUAGACUCCCAACCUAUAGGUUUAACUUAAAAUUGUAUGAAUUUUUUUAUGCCCUUGAAAGAACCAGUAUUUUGUUGACUGAAAUAAAAUACCUUUGUAAAAAGGUUGUCUCUGUCUCUGGAAUG
Molecule: long non-coding RNA, 5161 nt
Filed under: Lynx pardinus (Iberian lynx)
Lineage: Eukaryota; Metazoa; Chordata; Mammalia; Carnivora; Felidae
Source: RNAcentral